CAGCCGCCGCGGUAAUACGUAUGUCGCGAGCGUUAUCCGGAAUUAUUGGGCAUAAAGGGCAUCUAGGCGGCCUGACAAGUCAGGGGUGAAAACCUGCGGCUCAACCGCAGGCCUGCCUUUGAAACUGUGAGGCUGGAGUACCGGAGAGGUGGACGGAACUGCACGAGUAGAGGUGAAAUUCGUAGAUAUGUGCAGGAAUGCCGAUGAUGAAGAUAGUUCACUGGACGGUAACUGACGCUGAAGUGCGAAAGCCGGGGGAGCGAACAGGAUUAGAUACCCCGGUAGUCCCUGUCUCUUAUAU
RNAcentral lists this ribosomal RNA (301 nucleotides) under uncultured bacterium. RNAcentral describes it as "partial 16S ribosomal RNA". It matches the Rfam family "Bacterial small subunit ribosomal RNA", at positions 509 to 809 of the family's 1533-position model. The record is from RNAcentral.